Molecule: long non-coding RNA, 473 nt
Filed under: Mytilus galloprovincialis (Mediterranean mussel)
Lineage: Eukaryota; Metazoa; Mollusca; Bivalvia; Mytilida; Mytilidae
Source: RNAcentral
CAUUUAAGGAGGCUCGAGGGUAUAAAAAUUUCAGAAAAAAAUUAAACAUUUGUUUUUCAUUACAAAUUUUAUUUAUUACCUUUUGUAGUUGUUAAUUUAUCAUAUGGUACAAAAAACAUUCAAAACAAUUAAUUCGUGUUGGCCCUGUUGGCCCUAGAUGACUUUUAAAAUGUAAACAUCAUUGAAAAAGUUCCAAAUUAUCUUCCUUUGGUGGAAAAAUGCCAUUUUUUGGCUUUAAAAAUGAAAUAUCUCUUUUAACUCAUCGGUGACCUAUAUUUUUGAAUAUAAUUUCGAUAUAUGCUGUACUUAAACUAAAUUAUUGUAAAAUUUGAGCGAUUUCUGUAAUAAAUUUCUUUAUUUAUUUCGAUAUUAGUUCAACAGAAAUAAAAACACUUUUACAAAGAUGUAUGCUUCUUUCGAAGGCAGAUUGUGAGCGCAAAUGAACGGUGACCCCAUUUUUUUAUUUUUAUUUU